Camelus dromedarius (Arabian camel) is the source of this 1098-nucleotide long non-coding RNA. RefSeq lists it as uncharacterized. Lineage: Eukaryota; Metazoa; Chordata; Mammalia; Artiodactyla; Camelidae. The transcript has 3 exons. The record is from RefSeq and is a predicted model, not a curated record.
AAAAGAUUUCAACAUGAAAUGUUUCCUUACUUCCUCCUCUUGGAAAAAGGACGUAAGGAAGGAAACCUGGUGUUGAUUCAACACCUACUUUGUGCCAGAUGUUAUUCUUGAGAAUUGUCUUUCCUGUUUCAAGAAAAUAUGCUUUUUUAUUCUAGAUCUGUGCCUCUAAACUGGAGUAGUACCAUCUGUGCAGGGAAGGCUUGUGAAUGUGUGCAUGUGUGUGGCGGGGCGUGUUCUUGGUAUUCCUAAUGUUGGGGGGAAGGAUGCUCCAGGCACUUAGUGAGCAGGAGCCAGGGAUGCUGGUUUCACUGCGUUUUGCCAGACUGUCCAGCUCCACACGUCAAAAGUACCAACCCCCUCCCCGGUGAGAAAUACUGAUCUCUACCAUUGGUGAGUUUUUUUUUUUAAUGUAAACAUGAAAUGGAAGAACAUCUUUACUAUUUCACUUAUUAGAUUGAGAUGACAAAUACCACACAUUUGUAAUCUUAGUGGUGGUACUUCAACAUGAGUAUAUAAAGAAGAGAAAAGAUUUAUGGUAUUUUCUUCCCCCAGGAAUCAAACUCAGGUAUCUGUUAUUAUCAUGACUACUGCUACUACGAUAUCGUCAGUGUUUGGACUAGUUUUCAGGAAAUGGAACGUUCCCCAGUUGAAGAAAUUAUACCUGUUCUGAAAGACUAUGAUUUCACAAUUCAGCCAUCCCUUCCGAAAGAUCACCCCAGAAUAUGUAGAAACUAGUGAACUGGAUUCCCCGCUGCUGUCUGACAGAGGCCUGGAGAGCUGCGCACGCUCAAGCCCGCAAGGUGCCAUUUGCCUUGUUAGUAUUUCUCUCACUGCUACCGGACUCACUCUUAGGCAGAAAAAAGUGUGACCCAAAGCCAGACACAGCAGUGGCUGACAGCCUGCACCUGGCCUCCGAUGGAAGGAAAGUCUCACAGCAGGUCAGUCACGCAGAAAGCACGCGUAGGGGGCAAGGGCUGGGAUCGUGCGGGACCCACGUCCUAGUUCUGCAUGUCUGGGUGUGAAUAUGCCCUCCCAGGAGCCGCAGGGAAAAAUGAUAGUAGCAAUGAGAUGAUAGUAAUAAUAAUUCUUUUGAGCAUU